AAAUCUUUUACAACCACCCGUGAUCAGGCUGAAAUUGUUUCUGUCUGAAGUGUCUAUCGGUUAUAUCGCGCGAUGUUUAUUUUACUUUACUUUACCUAUAUAAAUGUAUGGCUUCUGUAGAGUGAAGUUUUAGGAACAAUUAAUGUAGAGUAUUCUCCCAGCUUUACAUUAAAUGGUAAACUUCCUAUGCUCUUGCAACCACCGAUUUAUUUUGGCUAUUCAAGCACCUCUGCGGAUGGACCAGGAAUUCCUUUUCCGUGAAAAGUAUACAUACGCCAAUUAGACAGAUUCAAUUUCCAAUAAUUAGGAGCUACAUUCUUCUGGUUCACCCAUAAAAUCACUGAGAUGUCUACGGGGACAGGCCACAGUGGAAUCAAUGGCAUGGAUGAGAUAGUUAAUGUAAUAUCGUGGCAUUAAUGGAGGUAAGAUGCAACCUGUUGCGUGCGUCAACAGCCGUGAAUACUUCAUCAACGGAAAUGUCCAUCGAUGGUGGAAAAAGACAGUUCUGUAAAUAGGUAGGUAUGUAGUUUUGCAAAGCUUUCAAAGCAUAUGUCAUGCGAUUUUAAUUUUAAAUCACAGAAAAUUAGUAAGUAGCUUUGGCUUAAAGUCAGACGGGUAUGGUUCAAUCUAUCACCGUUUUUCUCCGUUCAGUUGACAUUUUUCUCGAUUUAAAAUGAGAGGUUUUCUUGAUUAAUAACUGCAUAUGAUUCUACAAUGAGUCCGGUAAAAUUUGAAAAGUAAAAGUGAAAAAACAUUUCAAUGAA
This is a long non-coding RNA of Bemisia tabaci, 764 nucleotides long. RefSeq lists it as uncharacterized. The record is from RefSeq and is a predicted model, not a curated record. NCBI's taxonomy places the organism in Eukaryota, Metazoa, Arthropoda, Insecta, Hemiptera, Aleyrodidae.